RNAcentral lists this ribosomal RNA (1033 nucleotides) under Eimeria bubonis. RNAcentral's name for it is "SSU rRNA". It matches the Rfam family "Eukaryotic small subunit ribosomal RNA", at positions 260 to 1294 of the family's 1831-position model. The record is from RNAcentral. Lineage: Eukaryota; Apicomplexa; Conoidasida; Eucoccidiorida; Eimeriidae.
CCGAACGGAUCGCAGUUGGCCUUUGGGCCCGCGAUGGAUCUUUCAAGUUUCUGACCUAUCAGCUUUCGACGGUAGGGUAUUGGCCUACCGUGGCAGUGACGGGUAACGGGGAAUUAGGGUUCGAUUCCGGAGAGGGAGCCUGAGAAACGGCUACCACAUCUAAGGAAGGCAGCAGGCGCGCAAAUUACCCAAUGAAAACAGUUUCGAGGUAGUGACGAGAAAUAACAAUACAGGGCAUUUUAUGCUUUGUAAUUGGAAUGAUGGGAAUGUAAAACCCUUCCAGAGUAACAAUUGGAGGGCAAGUCUGGUGCCAGCAGCCGCGGUAAUUCCAGCUCCAAUAGUGUAUAUUAGAGUUGUUGCAGUUAAAAAGCUCGUAGUUGGAUUUCUGUCGUGGUCAUCCGGCACCGCCCGUAUGGGUGUGCGCCAGGUUUGCCCGCGGCUUUCUUCCGGUAGCCUUCCGCGCUUCAGUGCGUGUGUUGGUGUUCUGGAACUUUUACUUUGAGAAAAAUAGAGUGUUUCAAGCAGGCUUGUCGCCCUGAAUACUGCAGCAUGGAAUAAUAAGAUAGGACCUUGGUUCUAUUUUGUUGGUUUCUAGGACCAAGGUAAUGAUUAAUAGGGACAGUUGGGGGCAUUCGUAUUUAACUGUCAGAGGUGAAAUUCUUAGAUUUGUUAAAGACGAACUACUGCGAAAGCAUUUGCCAAGGAUGUUUUCAUUAAUCAAGAACGACAGUAGGGGGUUUGAAGACGAUUAGAUACCGUCGUAAUCUCUACCAUAAACUAUGCCGACUAGAGAUAGGGAAACGCCUACCUUGGCUUCUCCUGCACCUCAUGAGAAAUCAAAGUCUCUGGGUUCUGGGGGGAGUAUGGUCGCAAGGCUGAAACUUAAAGGAAUUGACGGAGGGGCACCACCAGGCGUGGAGCCUGCGGCUUAAUUUGACUCAACACGGGGAAACUCACCAGGUCCAGACAUGGGAAGGAUUGACAGAUUGAUAGCUCUUUCUUGAUUCUAUGGGUGGUGGUGCAUGGCCGUUCU